AUUGAACGCUGGCGGCAGGCCUAACACAUGCAAGUCGAGCGGAUGAAGGGAGCUUGCUCCUGGAUUCAGCGGCGGACGGGUGAGUAAUGCCUAGGAAUCUGCCUGGUAGUGGGGGAUAACGUCCGGAAACGGGCGCUAAUACCGCAUACGUCCUGAGGGUGAAAGUGGGGGAUCUUCGGACCUCACGCUAUCAGAUGAGCCUAGGUCGGAUUAGCUAGUUGGUGGGGUAAAGGCCUACCAAGGCGACGAUCCGUAACUGGUCUGAGAGGAUGAUCAGUCACACUGGAACUGAGACACGGUCCAGACUCCUACGGGAGGCAGCAGUGGGGAAUAUUGGACAAUGGGCGAAAGCCUGAUCCAGCCAUGCCGCGUGUGUGAAGAAGGUCUUCGGAUUGUAAAGCACUUUUAGUUGGGAGGAAGGGCAGUAAGUUAAUACCUUGCUGUUUUGACGUUACCAACAGAAUAAGCACCGGCUAACUUCGUG
This 484-nucleotide ribosomal RNA is filed under the name uncultured bacterium. Its description in RNAcentral is "partial 16S ribosomal RNA". It matches the Rfam family "Bacterial small subunit ribosomal RNA", at positions 30 to 507 of the family's 1533-position model. The record is from RNAcentral.